Molecule: long non-coding RNA, 381 nt
Filed under: Brassica napus (rape)
Lineage: Eukaryota; Viridiplantae; Streptophyta; Magnoliopsida; Brassicales; Brassicaceae
Description: long non-coding RNA (BNAP_LNC023946)
Source: RNAcentral
UUUUGAAGUGGGAGGGGAUGAUGUGAUCAUGGAAAGCACCAAGGAAUGGAAUCAUGAACCUGAUCAUGGAGAACUGAUGUGAUCAUGGAAAGCACCAAGGAAUGGAAUCAUGAACCUGAUCAUGGAGAACUUGUAGCUGUGGAAGAACCUACACUUGAAGAAUGUUUGAGCCGAAAUAAAGCUUCUAUCAUCAGAGACAACUUGAUCUACAUUCAAGCUACUCUACACUCAAGCUGAUCAUCAUCUAGGCAAGUAGCUUGUGUGUACUCUUUUUCCCUUGAUUGGUUUUGUCCCACUGGGUUUUCCAAUCAAGGUUUUUAAUGAGGCCACAAGUUACUUCUCUUACCUCCUAGAUGAUUGAUCUUGGUCUGUCCACAUGAA